This is a long non-coding RNA of Camelus dromedarius (Arabian camel), 1106 nucleotides long. RefSeq lists it as uncharacterized. NCBI's taxonomy places the organism in Eukaryota, Metazoa, Chordata, Mammalia, Artiodactyla, Camelidae. The transcript has 4 exons. The record is from RefSeq and is a predicted model, not a curated record.
CCCCGCGACCCCGGGGCUGCCCUGCUCUUCCUUUCCUGCUCCCUGAGGACAAGCUCAGCGGCGUGGGCGCUGCUCCCUGGGCUGAGAGCCUCCGGCUGUAAAGCCCAGCUUCUGGUGGAGUCGGGAAAGUGGAUCCUCAGUGCUGAGCGAGCUUCUGUCUCCUCCCUCAGUGUUUCUGCCCCAGGGCCUGCAACAUGAGCAUCCCUGACUACGUGCAGUGUGCUGAGGACUAUGAGACUCUUCCCGUGGUGGUCAAACCAGUGGGGAUCAUCUCAGAGGAGAAUUUCUUUUGCAUCUAUAAGCGAAUCUCCUUGGUGAGCCAGAUCAGCCCAUGCAGCUCCCAGGGCGCACUCUGUAUGCACUACAGGCACCACUAUGCGCCCAAGAAUGGAUGGAGCGGCUUCCAGACCCACCGCAUGGUUGUGGGCCUUGUCACCAUUACCGACUGCCUCUCGGCCAAGGCCUUCGAGAAGCUCCACGUGCAGAGGAGCUGUAUGGCAUCACGCUUAAUGACUCUCAGCUCUUUGUCUUUGUGCUGCAUGGGGAGGUAGCCAAGCAGCCGCGCACCGACGUGGCCUUCAAUCUACGAGGACUGCAGGGUAGUGAAGAGGAUCGAGGACUUCACUGAGUCACUCUUCAUCUUGCUCAAGUCCAAGUGGCUGGAUGGGGCCCCUGACAAGCCUGGGGACAAGAUCCCACUCCUCUGCAUGCCAUUUGAGAAGGAGGACUUCAUGGGACUGGACACAGACUGCAGGGCCCUGUGAUCUACAUGCCCGCGCUCCCCAUCUGCUCCUUGGAGUUGAGGUGUCAGGUUUAGGAGCCUGGGCACUGCUGAGGGCACAGCUGCCAGCACCGUGCUACACCGAGGCUGGCUCCGUUCACCUCACAUGUCACCUCCUGCUGAGCCCCCAGGCGUCAGUCAAGUACGUUUUGGUUACUGAGACCCUCGAAUUCCCAUAUGAAGUGUAGCAGCAGCUAGUCAGUUACUGCAGAGGAGCCCACUGGGAUUGUAAUCGAGACCACGUUGAAUAUAUGGAUCGCUCUGUGGAGCACUGACAUUCCAAGAGCGCUGUCAUCUGAUCCAGGAAUGUGCGUGGUGUGUCUGU